RNAcentral lists this ribosomal RNA (687 nucleotides) under Tahibacter sp. Its description in RNAcentral is "bacterial SSU rRNA". It matches the Rfam family "Bacterial small subunit ribosomal RNA", at positions 193 to 860 of the family's 1533-position model. The record is from RNAcentral. Lineage: Bacteria; Pseudomonadati; Pseudomonadota; Gammaproteobacteria; Lysobacterales; Rhodanobacteraceae.
CCGAGAGGUGAAAGUGGGGGACCUUCGGGCCUCACGCGAUUGGAUGAGCCGAUGCCGGAUUAGCUAGUUGGUAGGGUAAAGGCCUACCAAGGCGACGAUCCGUAGCUGGUCUGAGAGGAUGAUCAGCCACAUUGGGACUGAGACACGGCCCAAACUCCUACGGGAGGCAGCAGUGGGGAAUAUUGGACAAUGGGCGCAAGCCUGAUCCAGCCAUGCCGCGUGUGUGAAGAAGGCCUUCGGGUUGUAAAGCACUUUUGUUCGGGAAGAAAUCGUACGGAUUAAUACUUUGUACGGAUGACGGUACCGAAAGAAUAAGCACCGGCUAACUUCGUGCCAGCAGCCGCGGUAAUACGAAGGGUGCAAGCGUUACUCGGAAUCACUGGGCGUAAAGCGUGCGUAGGCGGUUCGUUAAGUCUGCUGUGAAAGCCCUGGGCUCAACCUGGGAACUGCAGUGGAUACUGGCGGACUAGAGUGUGAUAGAGGAUGGUGGAAUUCCCGGUGUAGCGGUGAAAUGCGUAGAGAUCGGGAGGAACACCAGUGGCGAAGGCGGCCAUCUGGAUCAACACUGACGCUGAGGCACGAAAGCGUGGGGAGCAAACAGGAUUAGAUACCCUGGUAGUCCACGCCCUAAACGAUGCGAACUGGACGUUGGUUGCAACUUGGCAAUCAGUGUCGAAGCUAACGCGU